UUAAGUUCAGCGGGUAUCCCUACCUGAUCCGAGGUCAAGAGUGUAAAAAUGUACUUUUGGACGUCGUCGUUGUGAGUGCAAAGCGCGAGAUGUACUGCGCUCCGAAAUCAAUACGCCGGCUGCCAAUUGUUUUAAGGCGAGUCUACACGCAGAGGCGAGACAAACACCCAACACCAAGCAGAGCUUGAAGGUACAAAAUG
Molecule: unclassified non-coding RNA, 200 nt
Filed under: Epicoccum sp.
Lineage: Eukaryota; Fungi; Ascomycota; Dothideomycetes; Pleosporales; Didymellaceae
Description: partial internal transcribed spacer 2
Source: RNAcentral